RNAcentral lists this ribosomal RNA (483 nucleotides) under uncultured bacterium. Its description in RNAcentral is "bacterial SSU rRNA". It matches the Rfam family "Bacterial small subunit ribosomal RNA", at positions 96 to 564 of the family's 1533-position model. The record is from RNAcentral.
CGGCGGACGGGUGAGUAACACGUGGGCAACCUACCUGUAAGAUCGGGAUAACUCCGGGAAACCGGUGCUAAUACCGAAUGAUAUUUUUCAUCUCCUGAUGGAAAGUUAAAAGGCGGCUUCUGCUGUCACUUACAGAUGGGCCCGUGGCGCAUUAGCUAGUUGGUGGGAUAAAAGCUUACCAAGGCAACGAUGCGUAGCCGACCUGAGAGGGUGAUCGGCCACACUGGGACUGAGACACGGCCCAGACUCCUACGGGAGGCAGCAGUAGGGAAUCUUCCGCAAUGGACGAAAGUCUGACGGAGCAACGCCGCGUGAGUGAUGAAGGUUUUCGGAUCGUAAAACUCUGUUGUUAGGGAAGAACAAGUACUGUUCUAACAGGGCAGUACCUUGACGGUACUUAACCAGAAAGCCCCGGCUAACUACGUGCCAGCAGCCGCGGUAAUACGUAGGGGGCGAGCGUUGUCCGGAAUUAUUGGGCGUAAA